UUCCUAAUAGCUCAGUUGGUAAAGAAUCUGCCUGCAAUGCAGGAGACCUGGGUUCGAUCCCUGGGUCGGGAA
Molecule: transfer RNA, 72 nt
Filed under: Ovis aries (sheep)
Lineage: Eukaryota; Metazoa; Chordata; Mammalia; Artiodactyla; Bovidae
Rfam family: tRNA
About the family: Transfer RNA (tRNA) molecules are approximately 80 nucleotides in length. Their secondary structure includes four short double-helical elements and three loops (D, anti-codon, and T loops).
Source: Rfam by way of RNAcentral